GGUAAGUCGGGGCCUAAGGCGAGGCUGGGAGGCGUAGCCGAUGGACAACAGGUKGAGAUUCCUGURCCGUGUAUCAUCASAACUGUGGGGACACSGAARGACASCACAUCCCGGGAAUGGGAAUACCGGGGCAAGCGGGGUAGGAGUACGGSUGGSAAAUCCGCCGUACAAUCCGAAKACRUGACGCGGAGCGAACUGAAGUAGHGAAGUGUGUGAUUCCMGCUGUCAAGAAAAGCCGCUAUCGUGUGAUACACGCCCGUACCGUAAACCGACACAGGUGGAUGAGGAGAGAAUCCUAAGG
This 301-nucleotide ribosomal RNA is filed under the name Enterocloster aldenensis. Its description in RNAcentral is "[Clostridium] aldenense partial 23S ribosomal RNA". It matches the Rfam family "Bacterial large subunit ribosomal RNA", at positions 1379 to 1686 of the family's 2925-position model. Lineage: Bacteria; Bacillati; Bacillota; Clostridia; Lachnospirales; Lachnospiraceae. The record is from RNAcentral.